RNAcentral lists this ribosomal RNA (465 nucleotides) under Vreelandella stevensii. Its description in RNAcentral is "partial 16S ribosomal RNA". It matches the Rfam family "Bacterial small subunit ribosomal RNA", at positions 338 to 795 of the family's 1533-position model. Lineage: Bacteria; Pseudomonadati; Pseudomonadota; Gammaproteobacteria; Oceanospirillales; Halomonadaceae. The record is from RNAcentral.
CCUACGGGGUGCAGCAGUGGGGAAUAUUGGACAAUGGGGGGAACCCUGAUCCAGCCAUGCCGCGUGUGUGAAGAAGGCCCUCGGGUUGUAAAGCACUUUCAGUGAGGAAGAACGCCUGGUGGUUAAUACCCAUCAGGAAAGACAUCACUCACAGAAGAAGCACCGGCUAACUCCGUGCCAGCAGCCGCGGUAAUACGGAGGGUGCGAGCGUUAAUCGGAAUUACUGGGCGUAAAGCGCGCGUAGGUGGCUUGAUAAGCCGGUUGUGAAAGCCCCGGGCUCAACCUGGGAACGGCAUCCGGAACUGUCAAGCUAGAGUGAAGGAGAGGAAGGUAGAAUUCCCGGUGUAGCGGUGAAAUGCGUAGAGAUCGGGAGGAAUACCAGUGGCGAAGGCGGCCUUCUGGACUGACACUGACACUGAGGUGCGAAAGCGUGGGUAGCAAACAGGAUUAGAUACCCUAGUAGUC